This 468-nucleotide ribosomal RNA is filed under the name uncultured bacterium. RNAcentral describes it as "partial 16S ribosomal RNA". It matches the Rfam family "Bacterial small subunit ribosomal RNA", at positions 28 to 507 of the family's 1533-position model. The record is from RNAcentral.
GACGAACGCUGGCGGCGUGCUUAACACAUGCAAGUCGAACGGAAAGGCCCUGCUUUUGUGGGGUGCUCGAGUGGCGAACGGGUGAGUAACACGUGAGUAACCUGCCCUUGACUUUGGGAUAACUUCAGGAAACUGGGGCUAAUACCGGAUAGGAGCUCCUGCUGCAUGGUGGGGGUUGGAAAGUUUCGGCGGUUGGGGAUGGACUGGCGGCUUAUCAGCUUGUUGGUGGGGUAGUGGCUUACCAAGGCUUUGACGGGUAGCCGGCCUGGGAGGGUGACCGGCGACAUUGGGACUGAGAGACGGCCCAGACUCCUACGGGAGGCAGCAGUGGGGAAUAUUGCACAAUGGGCGGAAGCCUGAUGCAGCAACGCCGCGUGCGGGAUGACGGCCUUCGGGUUGUAAACCGCUUUAGCCUGUGACGAAGCGUGAGUGACGGUAAUGGGUAAAGAAGCACCGGCUAACUACGUG